This 2560-nucleotide ribosomal RNA is filed under the name Chloroflexota bacterium. RNAcentral describes it as "23S ribosomal RNA (partial)". It matches the Rfam family "Bacterial large subunit ribosomal RNA", at positions 3 to 2512 of the family's 2925-position model. Lineage: Bacteria; Bacillati; Chloroflexota. The record is from RNAcentral.
UCAAGUUAUUAAGGGCUCACGGUGAAUGCCUUGGGAUCAAGGACCGAUGAAGGGCGCGGUAAGGCUGCGAUAAGCCUCGAUUAGCCGUCUAACGGGCUUAGUCGAGGAUUCCCGAAUGGGGAAACCUGUUCCGGUGUUGAGCCGGUUCAUCUGCAUAGCAGAGGGUAAGUGGGGGAACUGAAACAUCUAAGUACCCUGAGGAAAAUAAAUCAACCGAGAUUCUCUUAGUAGUGGCGAACGAACGGGGAAUAGGCCAAACCCCUAUGACUUAGUGGUGUAAGGACCUAUGUCAUAGCGGUGUCACAGGAGGCAUCUGAAGUCGCCUUGCCAGACUUCAAGAAGUUACAAAACAUGAGUUUAGUCGAAGGACCCUGGGAAGGGCCGUCGUAGAGGGUGAUAGCCCCGUAGACGAAAAGUUCAUGUCUUCUGAUGCAUUUCCUAAGUACCACGGGACACGAGAAAUCUUGUGGGAAGUCGGGGGGACCACCCUCCAAGCCUAAAUAUCCUUGAUCACCGAUAGCGAACAAGUACCGUGAGGGAAAGGUGAAAAGAACCCCUAGCGGGGAGUGAAAUAGACCUGAAACCGUGAGCUUACAGAAGGUCGUAGUCCUGAUUUAUCAGGAUGUCGGCGUGCCUAUUGAAGAAUGAUCCAGGGAGUUACUUUAUGUAGCGAGGUUAAGAAACUGUAGUUUCGGAGCCGAAGCGAAAGCGAGUCUGAAUAGGGCGACUAGUUUCAUAGAGUAGACACGAAACCGAGUGAGCUAACCAUGGCCAGAUUGAAGGUCCGGUAACACGGACUGAAGGAUCGAACCCGUAGCUGGUACAAAAGCUUGGGAUGAGCUGUGGUUAGAGGAGAAAUUCCAAUCGAACUCGGAAAUAGCUUGUUCUCCCCGAAAUGUAUUUAGGUACAGCCUCGGAUUAAAGAUGAACGGAGGUAGGGCACUGAAUGGGCUAGGGGCCGUAAGGUUACCAAACCCAAUCAAACCACCAAUGCCGUUUAAUUGUUAUCCGGGAGUGAGACAGUCACAGAUAAGUGCGAUUGUCGAAAGGGAAACAGCCCAGACCACCGGCUAAGGCCCCCAAGUGCGGGCUAAGUGGGAAACGAGGUGGGAUUCCCUAGACAACUAGGAGGUUGGCUUAGAAGCAGCCAUCCUUUAAAGAGUGCGUAAUAGCUCACUAGUCAAGGGGUCCUGCGCGGAAAAUGUAACGGGGCUAAAGCCCGUCGCCGAAGCCGUGGAUUUUAGUAUGUAUUUACUGGGAUGGUAGGGGAGCGUUCCUCGGGCAGUGAAGUUGUAUCGUGAGGUACAGUGGAGCGCGGGGAAGUGAGAAUCCUGGAAUGAGUAGCGUUAACAAGGGUGAGAAUCCCUUGCGCCGGAAGCCCAAGGUUUCCUACGCAAUGUUUAUCAGCGUAGGGUUAGUCGGUCCUAAGCCGUAGGCAAAUGCCGAAGGCGAUGGACAGCAGGUUAAUAUUCCUGCACCGCCUGUUUUUUGUUGAUACUCGGAGGGGUGCGGAAGGGUAGAUAGGGCGUGCCUAUUGGACAUGGUACGUUCUUGACUGUAGGUAGUUGGAGCAGGAAAAUCCACUCCAACGUUACACUGAGAGUUGAGAAAAUCGGAUCCUACGGGAGUAAGAAAUCCUAUUGAACCCAAGCCGACUAGAAAAGCUUCGUUUGUAGAAACUCAGGCGACCGUACCGCAAACCGCCACUGGUGGGCAGGUAUAAAAGUACCAAGGCGUGCGAGAUAACCUCCGUUAAGGAACUAGACAAAAGAGCCCUGUAACUUUGGGAGAAAGGGCCCCCCGGAUGGUGAAGGCCACUUGCUGGCACAGCUUUUUGGGGGCGCAGAGAAGAAGCCCGGGCGACUGUUUAACAAAAACACAGGUCUGUGCUAAGGGGAAACCCUACGUAUACAGGCUGACACCUGCCCAGUGCUGGAAGGUUAAGGGGAGGGGUGAGAGCCUCGAACUGAAGCCCCAGUGAACGGCGGCCGUAACUCUAACGGUCCUAAGGUAGCGAAGUCCCUUGUCGGGUAAGUUCCGACCCGCAUGAAUGGUUGAACGACUUGGGCAUUGUCUCAACGGAGGGCUCGGUGAAAUUGCGGUGCCCGUGAAGACGCGGGCGACCUGCGGCAGGACAAAAAGACCCCGUGGAGCUUUACUGUAGCCUGGUAUUGGGCUGGGAGCUGUCAUGUGUAGGAUAGGUGGGAGGCUAUGAAAUUCUUGCGCCAGUGAGAAUGGAGCCAUUGUUGAAAUACCACCCUUGGCUGUUUUUGGUUCUAACCUCAGCAAAGCUGAGGGACAAUGCCUGGUAGGCAGUUUGACUGGGGCGGUCGCCUCCUAAAAGGUAACGGAGGCGCCCAAAGGUUCACUCAGGACGGAUGGAAAUCGUCUGCAGAACGCAUUGGCAUAAGUGAGCUUGACUGCGAGACCUACAAGUCGAGCAGAGACGAAAGUCGGGCAAAGUGAUCCCACGGUCCCGUGUGGAAGGGCCGUGGCUUAACGGAUAGAAGCUACCCCGGGGAUAACAGGCUUAUCUCCCCCAAGAGUUCACAUCGACGGG